Molecule: ribosomal RNA, 497 nt
Filed under: uncultured bacterium
Lineage: Bacteria
Description: partial 16S ribosomal RNA
Rfam family: Bacterial small subunit ribosomal RNA
Source: RNAcentral
GAUGAACGCUGGCGGCGUGCCUAAUACAUGCAAGUCGAGCGAACAGACGAGGAGCUUGCUCCUCUGACGUUAGCGGCGGACGGGUGAGUAACACGUGGAUAACCUACCUAUAAGACUGGGAUAACUUCGGGAAACCGGAGCUAAUACCGGAUAAUAUAUUGAACCGCAUGGUUCAAUAGUGAAAGACGGUUUUGCUGUCACUUAUAGAUGGAUCCGCGCCGCAUUAGCUAGUUGGUAAGGUAACGGCUUACCAAGGCAACGAUGCGUAGCCGACCUGAGAGAGUGAUAUGGGACACACGAGAUGAGACACGGUCCCGAGACCCACGCGAGGGAGAAGUAGAGAAUCUUCCGCGAUAGGGGCGAGCCUGACGCAGCAACGCGCCGUGUGAGAUGAGAGGGUCCGGAGCUCGAAACUCUGUGAUUAGGGAAGAAAACAAGUGUAUGUGUAUCUGCACACGUUGACAGGAUACCAACAGAGAGACCCGGGUAUAAACGUG